CAGCAGCCGCGGUAAUACGAAGGGUGCAAGCGUUAAUCGGAAUUACUGGGCGUAAAGCGUGCGUAGGCGGUUUGUUAAGUCUGUUGUGAAAUCCCCGGGCUCAACCUGGGAAUGGCAAUGGAUACUGGCAAGCUAGAGUGUGUCAGGGGAUGGUGGAAUUCCGGUGUAGCAGUGAAAUGCGUAGAGAUCGGAAGGAACAUCUGUGGCGAAGGCGACUAUCUGGGCCAACACUGACACUGAGGCACGAAAGCGUGGGGAGCAAACAGGAUUAGAUACCCCUGUAGUCCCUGUCUCUUAUACA
Molecule: ribosomal RNA, 301 nt
Filed under: uncultured bacterium
Lineage: Bacteria
Description: partial 16S ribosomal RNA
Rfam family: Bacterial small subunit ribosomal RNA
Source: RNAcentral